This 449-nucleotide ribosomal RNA is filed under the name uncultured bacterium. Its description in RNAcentral is "partial 16S ribosomal RNA". It matches the Rfam family "Bacterial small subunit ribosomal RNA", at positions 354 to 796 of the family's 1533-position model. The record is from RNAcentral.
GUGGGGAAUUUUGGACAAUGGGCGCAAGCCUGAUCCAGCAAUGCCGCGUGCAGGAAGAAGGCCUUCGGGUUGUAAACUGCUUUGUACGGAACGAAACGGUCCGGGUUAAUACCCUGGGCUAAUGACGGUACCGUAAGAAUAAGCACCGGCUAACUACGUGCCAGCAGCCGCGGUAAUACGUAGGGUGCAAGCGUUAAUCGGAAUUACUGGGCGUAAAGCGUGCGCAGGCGGUUUUGUAAGACAGGCGUGAAAUCCCCGGGCUCAACCUGGGAAUUGCGCUUGUGACUGCAAGGCUGGAGUGCGGCAGAGGGGGAUGGAAUUCCGCGUGUAGCAGUGAAAUGCGUAGAUAUGCGGAGGAACACCGAUGGCGAAGGCAAUCCCCUGGGCCUGCACUGACGCUCAUGCACGAAAGCGUGGGGAGCAAACAGGAUUAGAUACCCGGGUAGUCC